RNAcentral lists this small nuclear RNA (99 nucleotides) under Equus asinus (donkey). Lineage: Eukaryota; Metazoa; Chordata; Mammalia; Perissodactyla; Equidae. The record is from RNAcentral.
AUGCUUAUUUUGGGAGCACAUAUACUAAAAUUGGGAUGAUACAGAGAUUAGCAUGGCCCCCGAGCAAGGAUGACAUGCAAAUUUGUGAAGAAGAUAUUA